UGAUCACUUUGAGCACUGACAAAUCAU
RNAcentral lists this non-coding RNA (27 nucleotides) under Rattus norvegicus (Norway rat). The record is from RNAcentral. Lineage: Eukaryota; Metazoa; Chordata; Mammalia; Rodentia; Muridae.